GUAGUUAGCCGGGGCUUCCUCACAGAUUACCGUCACUUCCUUCGUCAUCUGCGACAGAGGUUUACAAUCCGAAAACCUUCUUCCCUCACGCGGCGUUGCUGGGUCAGGCUUGCGCCCAUUGCCCAAUAUUCCCCACUGCUGCCUCCCGUAGGAGUCUGGACCGUGUCUCAGUUCCAGUGUGGCCGAUCAGCCUCUCAGCUCGGCUACCCAUCGUUGACUAGGUGGGCCGUUACCCCGCCUACUAUCUAAUGGGACGCGAGCCCCUCCUUUUGCGGAUUACUCCUUUUACCCCUCUGCCAUGUGACAGUGUGGUCUUAUGCGGUAUUAGCAACGAUUUCUCGUUGUUAUCCCCCUCAAAAGGUCAGGUUGCUCACGCGUUACUCACCCGUUCGCCACUAAGUUUACAACCGAAGUCAUAAACUCCGUUCGACUUGCAUGUGUUAGGCACGCCGCCAGCGUUCGUCCUGAGCCAUAAUCAAACUCUGA
This 486-nucleotide ribosomal RNA is filed under the name uncultured bacterium. Its description in RNAcentral is "partial 16S ribosomal RNA". The record is from RNAcentral.